AUUUCUCAAGGAUAGAUUACCAAACUGGGUUGCUGGUUCUGGAUAUGUGGCCUUGGUUCGACAAACUACCUAAAGUAAAACCGCUUCCGGUAAGGCUUAUACAUGUGUUUAAUUGGACAUCUAGUAUGUCGAUAUAUGCCUUAAUUCAAUACUUUGAAUAAAUAGGGCGUACGUAAACAACCGGGUGAGGUUGAGUGUGGCUAUUAUGUUAUGCGAUACAUAAAGGAAAUUAUAUAGGAUGAGACACUUUCAUUUCCAACCAAGUGGGCGGUAAAGACACGCAAAUCAUAUAGCCAAGCUCAAAUUGACGAGGUGCGCAUUGAAGUGGCUGAUUAUAUACAGAGUUGGGUGUAGGACUUGUGGCUAUGAAGAAAUUUUUGAGUAAGGCUAGCUAGUUUUUGCUUUGAAGGAAAGUUUGGUGUAUAUAUGUAGAACUGAUAUAGUUGGUUGCUAUUAUGUUUAUGGGCUAGCCUUUGUAGGUUUUGGGGUUUUGGUUUGUGAAUUAUGUAGAAUCAUGAAUGAAGAUGGGAAAAUGAAUGGAAUGCCUCAAUUUUUGGAUGAUA
Molecule: long non-coding RNA, 563 nt
Organism: Rosa chinensis
Lineage: Eukaryota; Viridiplantae; Streptophyta; Magnoliopsida; Rosales; Rosaceae
Exons: 2
Source: RefSeq, a predicted model, not a curated record